CCAGCUCGGUUUAUAAUCGUGCCGAGCCCGAGCUUGGCCUGGCUCGGCUCAUGAACAACCCUAUUUUAGAAUUACCAUAGUUAAAUGCAUAUGUGCAAUAAUAUUUCUUUCUAGCUAUGCAUGAUUAUAUAUAUAUCUUCUAUUUGAAUUUAUCAACAUGAUAUAGCACAUGUCUUAUAGAUGUAAAGAAGGUAACACAACAUGGUUGUGGAUCUUAUGGAAUUUGUUUCCAAGAGGAAGAACUAGAAGUCUCAUAAGAAGAUUUUACAAUUCUGGAUCGUGAAUGAUUUGGCUAACUAAUAAAAAUUAUAUGAUUUUAAAGCAUGUUUAGAUUGUGCAUUAAAAAUCUAAAAGCAUCGGCAAGAAGCUUUGCUUCAAAAUCAUCAAAGCAAGAGGAGGAUGCUAUUAGAGGUCUGGGAAUCUACAAAGCUCAUCAAAAAAUACUCACUUUUAAACGAGACGAACUUCGAUGUCUCUCGUUGUAUCAAAGCUGUGACUGGAGGAACCAAUCUCUUGGCAACCACCCCCCAUCGGCAUGGGACUGACGAAGUAAAUACUCAAGGAAUCAAGAGAAAUUUGCAACUGAUGCAGGGGAUUUGCAAAUUUGGAGUUGACCCGGGUACUUUUGCCAGCAACCCGCUUAUCAGAGGGGGAGGUUUUGACUCGUCAUAUGGACGAUCCAAAUAGAACUAGUUGGAGGGAGAGCUAAACAGUUUCGAAAUCAUUCUCUACAUGUGGCCAAGAUUGAAGACUGGGCCCUACAUGGGGUUUAACUUCAAGCAAGAACAACCUCCUGAGUUGAUAAAUGCUUAUCAUCACUUAAUUGAUAAGUAUUUGAUAGACUGUAUGCAUGUUUUUGGUGGAGGCGUGAGGGGUGAGGGGUGAGGGCUAGUUGCUUGAUCACCACGGAGGGCCAUACGUGAACUGGAAGUUGGAGGAGCUUGCUACAAAACGCAAAAUGGUGUUCGAUGUCCGUGAAAUUGAUUGGGGAGACAACAAGUUGGCACUGAUCAGAUUUAUCAAGAACUGAAUUUGCCGAGAAUACAACUUUUAUAUCGUGUUCAAACUAUGCAUUUUAGAUGGUCAUAAAAAAAUGACAACUGAAGAUUCUCAAAUCAUUAUAAUAGCAUAAUAGUCAUUUUUCCCCUAAAA
Long non-coding RNA from Helianthus annuus (common sunflower), 1152 nucleotides. RefSeq lists it as uncharacterized. Lineage: Eukaryota; Viridiplantae; Streptophyta; Magnoliopsida; Asterales; Asteraceae. The transcript has 2 exons. The record is from RefSeq and is a predicted model, not a curated record.